RNAcentral lists this long non-coding RNA (1898 nucleotides) under Homo sapiens (human). Its description in RNAcentral is "HSALNT0009795". The record is from RNAcentral. Lineage: Eukaryota; Metazoa; Chordata; Mammalia; Primates; Hominidae.
CUUAACCACAAAUAAUUUAUUACUCAGGAGUGAAUAUUUUUAAAAUUAUGUAGACAUUGCGAUUAUAGUACUUAGUCUUUUCCUAACAAAAAGACAACCAUUCUCAAGUAUCUUAUUACAGUUAUUCAUUGAUUAACAAUUAAUUGAACAGCUUCUAUGUUAUAGUCCCUAGGCAUAUGGCAAUGAACUAGAUUGUUAUACAAAGUCCCUGCUGCCAUGGAGAUUACAUUCUACAGGAGUGGACAUAGACAAUAAAUGAAUAAACAAAUAAAUAAAUGAGAUAAUUUCAGAUAAUGAUAAAGCCUUGAAGCCCAGGUGAUAGACAAAAAGUGACAAUGGAUGUGGGUGUAGUUUUUUAAACAUUUUUCUUCUUAAAUUUGGUUUAAAUGUAAACAUUUACCAAAGUGAUAAAUAUCUGCAGUUUAGUCAGAUAGUACCAUAAGUAUUUAUUAAUAGCAUUUAUUACAAAAAAACCCAGAAAUCUCCAUCUGCUUCUUCCCCUUAUUCUCAGAGCAGGCUGUUCAGAAGCAGGCUCUUUGAAGUGACAUUUGAGCAGAGAAGCGAAUGACAAAAAGGAACUGCUUAAGUAACAUCUGGAUAAAGAGCUUUCCAGACAGGGGCAAUGGCAAGAGCAGAGAGCCUCAGACAGCAAUGAGGGUCCCCAGUGUUGCUAGAGCCAGGGAGCAAGGGAGAAGGCCUAGGAAAUGAUGCAGUAUAUCUUUUUCAUAGUAGCUUCCAUGAAUAGACUGGAUCGUGGGUGUAGAGAGGGGAGAGUGAUAGCAGAGAGGAAAUAUGAGAUUGAGGGAUGAUGGUGGCUUGGACUAGGGUAUUAGCAGUGACAAACUCCAAUGCAGUUUAAGACACACAGCACUUAGACCUGUUGAUGGCUGGGAUAUACAGGGGGGACAGGGUAAGAAAGACUCCAAUUUUGGAGCAACAGGGUUCAGAUGAUUAGGAAAGUGUUGUGUAUAUUUGUCACUGUUUUGCCUGCUCGGCAUCCAAAUCUCCUUCUGCGAUCAUAGAAUCUACUUACUAUGUAAAUUCUAAGAAAGGAUGCAAGCUAAUUCCUCUCUGCCUCCUGGAAGCUGGAGUACAAUCUCAUGCUUCUGUCUGGGACUGUGAAUCAGGAGUAAUGGAGAAUGAGGAUGUUUUCUAACUAACUCCAGUGGGGAGUACAUGAGGCUGCUUAGUGACAGUGACAGCAACAGCAGUGUCAUAACCAGGUAUGGCCUUGAUUGCUGUCAUUCUGACGACCUAGCCUCUCUUAGUUUCUGUUUCUUUUCCAAGUCUAUUUCUCAAGCUUGCCCAUUAAAAAAAAUUUAAAAAGAGGUAUGACAUAUAAAGGGCACAAAUCUUAAGUAUGCAACCUGAUAUGUAAACACCUAUGAAACCACCACCUAGACCAAAAUAUAAAAGACUUUCAGCACCCUCAAAGUCUUCCCUUUGAUACACUAUUUUCUCAACAAAUUCAAUUUCUGCCUGAGUUAGCAAGUCCAUUUCAGGCUGAGGCAGAAUGCAAUCAAGAAAUCUGACUUGUGGCACUUCAGUGUUUAUCACAUAUGACCCUUUUGCAUUCAGAGUGAAAAUUGGUCAGGAAAAACAGCAAAAGAGCAUUUUUGUACCAAAGUCCUCAAGUGAGUAAGCCUCAAAUUAAGACUUGUUAUUAUUAAUCAUAAUACAACUUUAUCAUACCAAAGUACCUAAAAAUUGAUAUAUUUAAUUUAUAAAAUCUUAACCAUCAAACUCAAUCUGUGGUCUGGAAACUAAAUUCUUUUCAGGGACCCUACCAGUACUCAACCUUGUUUCUUUAGGGUCCCUAACAUGUAAAGCUACAUAAUCUAAAAUUUUCCAGACAGUUAUUUAUUUUUCAUUUUUUAUUUUUUGAGACGGAGUCUCGC